RNAcentral lists this ribosomal RNA (496 nucleotides) under uncultured bacterium. RNAcentral describes it as "partial 16S ribosomal RNA". It matches the Rfam family "Bacterial small subunit ribosomal RNA", at positions 29 to 507 of the family's 1533-position model. The record is from RNAcentral.
AUGAACGCUGGCGGCGUGCCUAAUACAUGCCAGUCGAGCGAACGGACGAGAAGCUUGCUUCUCUGAUGUUAGCGGCGGACGGGUGAGUAACACGUGGAUAAUCUACCUAUAAGACUGGGAUAACUUCGGGAAACCGGAGCUAAUACCGGAUGAUAUUUUGAACCGCAUGGUUCAAAAGUGAAAGACGGUCUUGCUGUCACUUAUAGAUGGAUCCGCGCUGCAUUAGCUAGUUGGUAAGGUAACGGCUUACCAAGGCAACGAUGCAUAGCCGACCUGAGAGGGUGAUCGGCCACACUGGAACUGAGACACGGUCCAGACUCCUACGGGAGGCAGCAGUAGGGAAUCUUCCGCAAUGGGCGAAAGCCUGACGGAGCAACGCCGCGUGAGUGAUGAAGGUCUUCGGAUCGUAAAACUCUGUUAUUAGGGAAGAACAUAUGUGUAAGUAACUGUGCACAUCUUGACGGUACCUAAUCAGAAAGCCACGGCUAACUACGUG